Molecule: ribosomal RNA, 463 nt
Filed under: uncultured bacterium
Lineage: Bacteria
Description: partial 16S ribosomal RNA
Rfam family: Bacterial small subunit ribosomal RNA
Source: RNAcentral
ACGAACGCUGGCGGCGUGCUUAACACAUGCAAGUCGUACGGUAAGGCCCUUUCGGGGGUACACGAGUGGCGAACGGGUGAGUAACACGUGAGUAACCUGCCCACAACUUUGGGAUAACGCUAGGAAACUGGUGCUAAUACUGGAUAUGUGCUCCUGCUGCAUGGUGGGGGUUGGAAAGCUCCGGCGGUUGUGGAUGGACUCGCGGCCUAUCAGCUUGUUGGUGGGGUAGUGGCCUACCAAGGCGGCGACGGGUAGCCGGCCUGAGAGGGUGACCGGCCACAUUGGGAUUGGAAUACGACCGAGACUCCUAGGGGGGGGAGUAGUGGGGAAUAUUGCAAAAUGGGCGGAAGCCUAAUGCAGAGACGCCACGGCGGGGAUGACGGCCUUCGGUUUAUAAACCGCUUUCGGCGGGGACGAACGUUUUUGUGACGGGACCUGAAGAAAAAGCACCGGCGAACUACGG